UAGGUUGCGAGCGUUGUCCGGAAUUACUGGGUGUAAAGGGCGUGUAGGCGGAGCUGCAAGUCAGAUGUGAAAUGUCAUGGCUCAACCAUGGAACUGCAUUUGAAACUGUGGCCCUUGAGUAUCGGAGAGGCAAGCGGAAUUCCUAGUGUAGCGGUGAAAUGCGUAGAUAUUAGGAGGAACACCAGUGGCGAAGGCGGCUUGCUGGACGACAACUGACGCUGAGGCGCGAAAGCGUGGGGAGCAAA
This 245-nucleotide ribosomal RNA is filed under the name uncultured bacterium. RNAcentral's name for it is "partial 16S ribosomal RNA". It matches the Rfam family "Bacterial small subunit ribosomal RNA", at positions 528 to 772 of the family's 1533-position model. The record is from RNAcentral.